Molecule: transfer RNA, 76 nt
Filed under: Pseudactinobacillus ducreyi
Lineage: Bacteria; Pseudomonadati; Pseudomonadota; Gammaproteobacteria; Pasteurellales; Pasteurellaceae
Description: [Haemophilus] ducreyi tRNA-Gly
Source: RNAcentral
GCGGGAAUAGCUCAGUUGGUAGAUCCAGACCUUCCAAGGUCUGGGCUCGCGAGUUCGAGCAUCGUUUCCCGCUCCA